CUGAAAGAGAGGAUGUUUAUCUUGGUCAUUGGGGAUGGGCCAUUACCAUUGUGACGUCGGCGCCCAUGGGUGCUCUCCCUUUUCAAAACGUUUUGAAAGACAAUGCAACCGUCCCAAUGGAAUAUUAUUGAAGCCCUGGUUGAAAAAGCCCCUAAAGAUUUAUGUUAUACAACGUUUGACAUGUUUGAACGAACUUAAAUAUAUAUUUUUUGCUCAUUCCUGACGACAAGUCAGACGCACACGGUACAUUUUCACUAGCCUUCGGAGCGCGCUAACACUAUUGGGACAUAAAUUAUUAACUUUUUUUAACAAAACUACAUUUGUUAUGGACCUGGGAUUCCUAGAAGUGCCUUCUGAUAAAGAUAAUCAAAGACAGAGCCUGCAAAGCCACGAUUCAGCUUUUUACCGCCUUCUGAGACCCUAUGGCAGUUGUAGGAAGUGUCACGGGACAGCUAAGAUCCUCACUCUUCAAUAAACAGAGACAAGAAGAACGACACCUUGUCAGACAGGCCACUUCCUGCCUGAAACCUUGUCAGGUUUUUGCCUGCCAAAUGAGUUCUGUUAUACUCACAGACACCAUUCAAACAGUUUUAGAAACUUUAGGGUGUUUUCUAUCCAUAUGUAAUAAGUAUAUGCAUAUUCUAGUUACUGGGUAGGAGUGGUAACCAGAUUAAAUCGGGUACGUUUUUUAUCCAGCCGUGAAAAUACUGCCCCCUAGCCAUAACAGGUUAAUGCAGCUGGUGGCCACACCAGAUACUGAAUGUUACUUUUGAUUUUGACCCCCCCUUUGUUCAGGGACACAUUAUUCAAUUUCUGUUAGUCACAUGUCUGUGGAACUUGUUCAGUUAAUGUCUUAAUUGUUGAAUCUUGUUAUGUUCACACAAAUAUUUAUGUUAAGUUUGCUAUUUGUUGAAAAUAAACGCAAUUGACAGUGAGAGGACGUUCCUUUUUUUGCUGAGUUGCCAUGAAGCCCAUAAAUACAGUGCCUUGCAAAAGUAUUUAUCCCCC
Molecule: long non-coding RNA, 1008 nt
Filed under: Salmo salar (Atlantic salmon)
Lineage: Eukaryota; Metazoa; Chordata; Actinopteri; Salmoniformes; Salmonidae
Description: lncRNA (ENSSSAG00000095922.1)
Source: RNAcentral